UAGAGUUUGAUCCUGGCUCAGAACGAACGCUGGCGGCAUGCCUAACACAUGCAAGUCGAACGAUGCUUUCGGGCAUAGUGGCGCACGGGUGCGUAACGCGUGGGAAUCUGCCCUUGGGUCUGGGAUAACAGUUGGAAACGACUGCUAAUACCGGAUGAUAUCGCGAGAUCAAAGAUUUAUCGCCCGAGGAUGAGCCCGCGUCAGAUUAGCUAGUUGGUGGGGUAAAGGCCUACCAAGGCGACGAUCUGUAGCUGGUCUGAGAGGAUGAUCAGCCACACUGGGACUGAGACACGGCCCAGACUCCUACGGGAGGCAGCAGUGGGGAAUAUUGGACAAUGGGCGAAAGCCUGAUCCAGCAAUGCCGCGUGAGUGAUGAAGGCCUUAGGGUUGUAAAGCUCUUUUACCCGGGAUGAUAAUGACAGUACCGGGAGAAUAAGCCCCGGCUAACUCCGUGCCAGCAGCCGCGGUAAUACGGAGGGGGCUAGCGUUGUUCGGAAUUACUGGGCGUAAAGCGCACGUAGGCGGCUUUGUAAGUCAGGGGUGAAAGCCUGGAGCUCAACUCCAGAACUGCCUUUGAGACUGCAUCGCUUGAAUCCGGGAGAGGUAAGUGGAAUUCCGAGUGUAGAGGUGAAAUUCGUAGAUAUUCGGAAGAACACCAGUGGCGAAGGCGGCUUACUGGACCGGGAUUGACGCUGAGGUGCGAAAGCGUGGGGGAGCAAACAGGAUUAGAUACCCUGGUAGUCCACGCCGUAAACGAUGAUAACUAGCUGUCCGGGGACUUGGUCUUUGGGUGGCGCAGCUAACGCAUUAAAGUUAUCCCGCCUGGGGGAGUACGGCCGCAAGGGUUAAAAACUCAAAGGAAGUUGACGGGGCGCCUGCAACGAAGCGGUGNAGCCAUGAUGGUUUUAAAUUCGUAGCAAACGCCGCUAGANNUUACCAGCGGUUGGANCAUGUCGGGACGAAUUCAGAGAUGNAUUUCNUCCNNUCGGGACNNANCNNNUUGCUGCAUNNNNNCGUCAGC
This 1021-nucleotide ribosomal RNA is filed under the name uncultured Sphingomonas sp. Its description in RNAcentral is "bacterial SSU rRNA". It matches the Rfam family "Bacterial small subunit ribosomal RNA", at positions 1 to 1059 of the family's 1533-position model. Lineage: Bacteria; Pseudomonadati; Pseudomonadota; Alphaproteobacteria; Sphingomonadales; Sphingomonadaceae. The record is from RNAcentral.